RNAcentral lists this long non-coding RNA (2109 nucleotides) under Prunus persica (peach). RNAcentral describes it as "long non-coding RNA (PPER_LNC008386)". Lineage: Eukaryota; Viridiplantae; Streptophyta; Magnoliopsida; Rosales; Rosaceae. The record is from RNAcentral.
CUUAAUUCCAUUUCUUUUUCAUGCCCUGAAGAAGCAAAGGCCACAACACAGGUAUAGGUCCUUUUCUCAGAGCAACUCCUCCAACCGCAGUUACCAUCUCCUUAUGAGUGGCCAGGAUUCAUUAGAGGGCUCCUCUCAUCGCCGGACACGAUCCGAAUUUCAGCCUCCUGUUAGUACUGCUGCCUUCUUUGAGCAGCGGCCCGCGAAUGAAUUUGUUCAUUCGCGGAGCCUCAAGGAAGAAGGUGGUGUUUCUGCUGCUCCUUCAGUGCUCAUUGGAUCAUCAAAGAUGGGUUCCUAUCCUUACCAGAUCUCUAAUGUGGGUAUGGCUAAAGGGAAAUGAAAGAUUCAAUCCGAAUAAUAUUUCAUUGAUUUUUUGUUUUUCCUUUUGGUAUAAGAGCAAAGUGUUCAAUGCUUGUAGUUCAGUACUUGUAAAAGUUGAAUGUUAAUUGAGCAAUGAAAAUGUAUUUUAAUUGUUAAUAAUGUUGGUGAGGUUGAAAGUUUGAAAGCAAACAUUGGUCAACUGUAGAUUCUGAGAUUGGUUGUCUUGUGUGCUUGUUUUUAUUUUAUACAAUUGAUGUAACAAAGGAUUAAGAAGGAGCCACGUUAUAGUCAUAGAGUGUAUGGAAUUUUUUUUAUUUUUAUGAAUUUAAAGAUAAAAUAUUUUAUAAAACUAUUUUUAGAAUAAUUCACUUGUAACAAAAUUACGUAUGUAUUUAUAAUGAGUUAGCCACUAUUAAGAUGAAUACAUCACAAAAAUAUAUCAUCAUCGUAUUUAUAUGAGUUAAACUUGAAUCAUGUUCCAAAUAUACCGCGGUCGUAUUUACGUGAGUUGAACUUGAAUCAUGUUCCACCUAAAUCGAGAUGAAAUAGACCGAAGACUAGCUAGUUAUGCAUGUGGCGUACUGAGUUACGCAAAGAAACCCCGGUAUCUUAUGAUAAACAAAGGGUAAAAACGUCAUUACACGUAUAUGAGCUGCCAGCGAAGACAAGUUGUAGAAUAAGUCCUUCCUUCUUAAAGAUGGGCAGAGCUCCAAUAAUUUUUUGUGGUCAGCAACAACAAGACAAGAAGAAAGAAGAGGCGAACUGAGCGAUGGAUCUAGGCAGCCACAAAAUGGAAGGCUUAAUUCCUUAUCUUUAUCACGCCAUCAAGAAGCAAAGACCUCAACGCAGGCACCGGUCAUCCUUUACUGAGAGCAUCUCCACUCAUGCUAGCUACCAUCGCUUGACGAGUGGCCAUGAUGUCUUAGAGGCCUCAUCUCUUCGUCGAACACCGCCGGAAGUUAUUCGUUCGCGUAGCUUCCAGGAAGAAGGUGGUGCUUCUGCUGCUCCUCCAGGCCACAUUGAAUCAUCAAAGAGUUCAAAAUUGGACCUUACUUCAUAACGACGCAGUUCACUUCUCGUAAGAGUUUUAUGUUCAAUAUCAAUGAUAUUGUAUUUUGAUUCUUAAUGUUGGUGAAAUUGAAACUUUGAGAGAUGAUUAAAGCAGUGAUUUAGAUUUGGGAUGAUUUGAGAUUUGAAUGUCAUAAUGUUUGUUUGUGUGCUCCUACAAUUGCAAACCAAGCACCAAGUAACAACCAUGCCCAAAAUGGCGUUGGAUUUUUCUGUCAAAGUUGUCAAUAAUGCAAUGUCAUUAUCCCACCUAAACUAAAAUGGACAGAUUUGGACCAAUUAGUUGCAAGACAAAAGAAAGGAAAAAACUAAAAUGGGGUUGCUCGGGACUAAAAACAAACAAUCCGGGGUUUAAUAUCCCACCUACCUAUAGACAAAUUAAAACCUUGUAAGAGGUUAUUAGGGUUUCGAAUCCAAGAUUAGGUUUGAAGGGGUCUGAGGUUUGAGUUUGAUCUCAUGUUAAUGAAACAUUGCAUAUGUUGUAUGUUUGGGGAGAGUAGCUCAACUCCUUAUAAACUCAGGCUUCAAGCUUAACAUGUGAACAACACAUAUUGGGUGGCGUGGGAGCACGUGUGGCCGUUGGGCCCAACACGUGAAGCCUUGCUCUGAUACCAUGAAGGAAGUUGAGGUUCCACCCCAAAACCAAUUGGCAAUGGGGAGAGUAGCUCAACUCCUUAUAAACCCAGGCUAGGUCCCUUAACAUUUCAAUGUGGGACAAAC